RNAcentral lists this unclassified non-coding RNA (342 nucleotides) under soil metagenome. RNAcentral's name for it is "partial contains 5.8S ribosomal RNA, internal transcribed spacer 2, and large subunit ribosomal RNA". The stretch from base 1 to 120 matches the Rfam family "5.8S ribosomal RNA", at positions 35 to 154 of the family's 154-position model. The record is from RNAcentral.
GAUGAAGAACGCAGCGAAAUGCGAUAGCUAGUGUGAAUUGCAGAUUUCAGUGAAUCAUCGAGUUUUUGAACGCACAUUGCGCUCCUUGGUAUUCCUCGGAGCAUGCCUAUUCGAGCGUCGUUUGGUCUCUCAAGCCUGGCUUGGUGUUGGGGCACGCCCUCGCUUGCGAGCGGCGGCCCUCGAAAUCAUCGGCGGUGCCGGUGUGCCUGGAAGCGCAGCAAAAUGCGAAGUCCAAAGCACCGACGCCCGCCGGAUCAAACGUCUUUGACACUUUUUUUACAAAAAGACCUCGAAUUAGGUAGGGAUACCCGCUGAACUUAAGCAUAUCAAUAAGCGGGAGGA